RNAcentral lists this ribosomal RNA (396 nucleotides) under uncultured bacterium. RNAcentral describes it as "bacterial SSU rRNA". It matches the Rfam family "Bacterial small subunit ribosomal RNA", at positions 28 to 417 of the family's 1533-position model. The record is from RNAcentral.
GACGAACGCUGGCGGCGCGCUUAACACAUGCAAGUCGAGCGAGAACCAGGGCUUCGGCCCUGGGGAAAGCGGCGAACGGGUGAGUAACACGUGAGUAACCUGUCCUCGGCACCGGGAUAGCCCGGGGAAACCCGGAUUAAUACCGGAUGGCCUUUCGAGUCCUCGGACUCGUCAGAAAAGGGAGCUUCGGCCUCCGGCCGAGGAGGGACUCGCGGCGGAUUAGCUUGUUGGUGAGGUAACGGCUCACCAAGGCGACGAUCCGUAGCUGGUCUGAGAGGACGAUCAGCCACACUGGGACUGAGACACGGCCCAGACUCCUACGGGAGGCAGCAGUGGGGAAUCUUGCGCAAUGGGCGAAAGCCUGACGCAGCGACGCCGCGUGCGGGAAGAAGGCCU